RNAcentral lists this ribosomal RNA (277 nucleotides) under uncultured bacterium. Its description in RNAcentral is "partial 16S ribosomal RNA". It matches the Rfam family "Bacterial small subunit ribosomal RNA", at positions 30 to 301 of the family's 1533-position model. The record is from RNAcentral.
AUUGAACGCUGGCGGCAUGCCUAACACAUGCAAGUCGAACGGCAGCAUGGUCUAGCUUGCUAGACUGAUGGCGAGUGGCGGACGGGUGAGUAACGCGUAGGAAUAUGCCUUAAAGAGGGGGACAACUUGGGGAAACUCAAGCUAAUACCGCAUAAACUCUGAGGAGAAAAGCUGGGGACCUUCGGGCCUGGCGCUUUAAGAAUAGCCUGCGUCCGAUUAGCUAGUUGGUGGGGUAAAGGCCUACCAAGGCGACGAUCGGUAGCUGGUCUGAGAGGAU